AACGCACAUUGCGCCCGCCAGUAUUCUGGCGGGCAUGCCUGUCCGAGCGUCAUUUCAACCCUCGAGCCCCCCAGGGCUUGGUGUUGGGGAUCGGCCCGCCCCGUCAGCGGCGCGCCGGCCCCGAAAUCUAGUGGCGGUCUCGCUGUAGCCUCCUCUGCGUAGUAGCACACCUCGCACUGGAACGCAGCGCGGCCACGCCGUUAAACCCCCCACUUCUGAAGGUUGACCUCGGAUCAGGUAGGAAUACCCGCUGAACUUAA
This 260-nucleotide unclassified non-coding RNA is filed under the name uncultured fungus. RNAcentral's name for it is "partial contains 5.8S ribosomal RNA, internal transcribed spacer 2, and large subunit ribosomal RNA". The stretch from base 1 to 52 matches the Rfam family "5.8S ribosomal RNA", at positions 103 to 154 of the family's 154-position model. Lineage: Eukaryota; Fungi. The record is from RNAcentral.